This 403-nucleotide ribosomal RNA is filed under the name Rhizobium leguminosarum. Its description in RNAcentral is "bacterial SSU rRNA". It matches the Rfam family "Bacterial small subunit ribosomal RNA", at positions 20 to 453 of the family's 1533-position model. The record is from RNAcentral. Lineage: Bacteria; Pseudomonadati; Pseudomonadota; Alphaproteobacteria; Hyphomicrobiales; Rhizobiaceae.
UGGCUCAGAACGAACGCUGGCGGCAGGCUUAACACAUGCAAGUCGAGCGCCCCGCAAGGGGAGCGGCAGACGGGUGAGUAACGCGUGGGAAUYUACCCUUUUYUACGGAAUAACGCAGGGAAACUUGUGCUAAUACCGUAUGUGUCCUUCGGGAGAAAGAUUUAUCGGGAAAGGAUGAGCCCGCGUUGGAUUAGCUAGUUGGUGGGGUAAAGGCCUACCAAGGCGACGAUCCAUAGCUGGUCUGAGAGGAUGAUCAGCCACAUUGGGACUGAGACACGGCCCAAACUCCUACGGGAGGCAGCAGUGGGGAAUAUUGGACAAUGGGCGCAAGCCUGAUCCAGCCAUGCCGCGUGAGUGAUGAAGGCCCUAGGGUUGUAAAGCUCUUUCACCGGAGAAGAUAAUG